Molecule: ribosomal RNA, 406 nt
Filed under: uncultured bacterium
Lineage: Bacteria
Description: bacterial SSU rRNA
Rfam family: Bacterial small subunit ribosomal RNA
Source: RNAcentral
GGGAACGGGGAAUACGAAAGAUUGAGUGGACGUUAUCCCAGUGACAGGUGGUGCAUGGUUGUCUUCCGCUCGUGUCGGGAGAUGUUGGGUUAAGUCCCGCAACCAGCGCAACCCCUAUCCUUACUUGCUAACAUUAAGUUGAGGACUCUAGGGAGACUGCUAUUGUAAGAUAGAGGAAGGCGGGGAUGACGUCCAAUCAUCAUGCUCCUUAUGUCUUGGGCUACACACGUGCUACAAUGGCUGGUGCAAACUGCUGCGAGCUCGCGAGAGUAAGCGAAUCCCAAAAAGCCAAUCUAAGUUCGGAUUGGAGUCUGCAACUCGACUCCAUGAACCCGGAAUCACUAGUAAUCGUAAAUCAGAAUGCUAAGGUGAAUACGUUCUCGGGUCUUGUACACAGCGAAACCGA